RNAcentral lists this long non-coding RNA (469 nucleotides) under Hordeum vulgare. RNAcentral's name for it is "long non-coding RNA (HVUL_LNC000544)". The record is from RNAcentral. Lineage: Eukaryota; Viridiplantae; Streptophyta; Magnoliopsida; Poales; Poaceae.
GAAUAUAGCAUAAGACAACAAUUGAGGGGACUGCAUCAAAAAUAAGACGUGAUCAAAUCUUUUCAAGGUCAUGAAAGGUCACUGUGCAUUCGGCUUACAUCAACUUAUAUGACAGUUAAAAUUUUAUAGUAAUUUUAGCGUCCUUCUUUCUUGUAGAUUCAUGCUUUAUAAACAAUUUUACUAGGGUAAUGUUACCCAGUAAACGUUCCCUGGAAAGGGUGGAAAUUGCAAACGCUUUGAUGACAACUUUGGUGGUUGCAAGGAUGGAAAAAGAUAGCAAUUUAAGUUUUCAACCAUGCCACUUUUUUAGUGAAAAGCAAAAAUAUAUGCAGCGGAGUGGUCAUGCUCGCGACAACUAAAAUACCAUCAAAAUGUUUGCAAUUGACAUCCUUUUCUUGAUAACGUUCGCUGGCUAUUGGGGUCCUUUACUAAGCCAAACAUAUUUUUGUAACAAACUUGACUUAUUUCU